Molecule: ribosomal RNA, 2204 nt
Filed under: Pseudomonas aeruginosa
Lineage: Bacteria; Pseudomonadati; Pseudomonadota; Gammaproteobacteria; Pseudomonadales; Pseudomonadaceae
Description: bacterial LSU rRNA
Rfam family: Bacterial large subunit ribosomal RNA
Source: RNAcentral
GUUAUAUGGUCAAGUGAAGAAGCGCAUACGGUGGAUGCCUUGGCAGUCAGAGGCGAUGAAAGACGUGGUAGCCUGCGAAAAGCUUCGGGGAGUCGGCAAACAGACUUUGAUCCGGAGAUCUCUGAAUGGGGGAACCCACCUAGGAUAACCUAGGUAUCUUGUACUGAAUCCAUAGGUGCAAGAGGCGAACCAGGGGAACUGAAACAUCUAAGUACCCUGAGGAAAAGAAAUCAACCGAGAUUCCCUUAGUAGUGGCGAGCGAACGGGGAUUAGCCCUUAAGCUUCAUUGAUUUUAGCGGAACGCUCUGGAAAGUGCGGCCAUAGUGGGUGAUAGCCCCGUACGCGAAAGGAUCUUUGAAGUGAAAUCGAGUAGGACGGAGCACGAGAAACUUUGUCUGAACAUGGGGGGACCAUCCUCCAAGGCUAAAUACUACUGACUGACCGAUAGUGAACCAGUACCGUGAGGGAAAGGCGAAAAGAACCCCGGAGAGGGGAGUGAAAUAGAACCUGAAACCGUAUGCGUACAAGCAGUGGGAGCCUACUUGUUAGGUGACUGCGUACCUUUUGUAUAAUGGGUCAGCGACUUAUAUUCAGUGGCAAGCUUAACCGUAUAGGGUAGGCGUAGCGAAAGCGAGUCUUAAUAGGGCGUUUAGUCGCUGGGUAUAGACCCGAAACCGGGCGAUCUAUCCAUGAGCAGGUUGAAGGUUAGGUAACACUGACUGGAGGACCGAACCCACUCCCGUUGAAAAGGUAGGGGAUGACUUGUGGAUCGGAGUGAAAGGCUAAUCAAGCUCGGAGAUAGCUGGUUCUCCUCGAAAGCUAUUUAGGUAGCGCCUCAUGUAUCACUCUGGGGGGUAGAGCACUGUUUCGGCUAGGGGGUCAUCCCGACUUACCAAACCGAUGCAAACUCCGAAUACCCAGAAGUGCCGAGCAUGGGAGACACACGGCGGGUGCUAACGUCCGUCGUGAAAAGGGAAACAACCCAGACCGCCAGCUAAGGUCCCAAAGUUGUGGUUAAGUGGUAAACGAUGUGGGAAGGCUUAGACAGCUAGGAGGUUGGCUUAGAAGCAGCCACCCUUUAAAGAAAGCGUAAUAGCUCACUAGUCGAGUCGGCCUGCGCGGAAGAUGUAACGGGGCUCAAACCACACACCGAAGCUGCGGGUGUCACGUAAGUGACGCGGUAGAGGAGCGUUCUGUAAGCCUGUGAAGGUGAGUUGAGAAGCUUGCUGGAGGUAUCAGAAGUGCGAAUGCUGACAUGAGUAACGACAAUGGGUGUGAAAAACACCCACGCCGAAAGACCAAGGGUUCCUGCGCAACGUUAAUCGACGCAGGGUUAGUCGGUUCCUAAGGCGAGGCUGAAAAGCGUAGUCGAUGGGAAACAGGUUAAUAUUCCUGUACUUCUGGUUACUGCGAUGGAGGGACGGAGAAGGCUAGGCCAGCUUGGCGUUGGUUGUCCAAGUUUAAGGUGGUAGGCUGAAAUCUUAGGUAAAUCCGGGGUUUCAAGGCCGAGAGCUGAUGACGAGUCGUCUUUUAGAUGACGAAGUGGUUGAUGCCAUGCUUCCAAGAAAAGCUUCUAAGCUUCAGGUAACCAGGAACCGUACCCCAAACCGACACAGGUGGUCGGGUAGAGAAUACCAAGGCGCUUGAGAGAACUCGGGUGAAGGAACUAGGCAAAAUGGCACCGUAACUUCGGGAGAAGGUGCGCCGGCUAGGGUGAAGGAUUUACUCCGUAAGCUCUGGCUGGUCGAAGAUACCAGGCCGCUGCGACUGUUUAUUAAAAACACAGCACUCUGCAAACACGAAAGUGGACGUAUAGGGUGUGACGCCUGCCCGGUGCCGGAAGGUUAAUUGAUGGGGUUAGCGCAAGCGAAGCUCUUGAUCGAAGCCCCGGUAAACGGCGGCCGUAACUAUAACGGUCCUAAGGUAGCGAAAUUCCUUGUCGGGUAAGUUCCGACCUGCACGAAUGGCGUAACGAUGGCGGCGCUGUCUCCACCCGAGACUCAGUGAAAUUGAAAUCGCUGUGAAGAUGCAGUGUAUCCGCGGCUAGACGGAAAGACCCCGUGAACCUUUACUGUAGCUUUGCACUGGACUUUGAGCCUGCUUGUGUAGGAUAGGUGGGAGGCUUUGAAGCGUGGACGCCAGUUCGCGUGGAGCCAUCCUUGAAAUACCACCCUGGCAUGCUUGAGGUUCUAACUCUGGUCCGU